Molecule: ribosomal RNA, 870 nt
Filed under: uncultured archaeon
Lineage: Archaea
Description: bacterial SSU rRNA
Rfam family: Archaeal small subunit ribosomal RNA
Source: RNAcentral
UCCCGGUGAUCCCGCCCGGACCUGACUGCUAUCGGAUUGGUACUAAGCCAUGCGAGUCGUUGUAGCAAUACAAGGCGGACGGCUCAGUAACACGUAGUCAACCUAACCUAUGGACGUGGAUAACCUCGGGAAACUGAGAAUAAACCGCGAUAGAUCAUUAUGCCUGGAAUGGCUUAUGGUUCAAACAAUUUAUUGCCGUAGGAUGGGACUGCGGCCUAUCAGCUUGUUGGUGAGGUAAUGGCCCACCAAGGCUAUAACAGGUACGGGCUCUGAGAGGAGAAGCCCGGAGAUGGGUACUGAGACACGGACCCAGGCCCUAUGGGGCGCAGCAGGCGAGAAACCUUAGCAAUGUGCGAAAGCACGACUAGGUUAAUCCGAGUGAUUUCUGUUGAAGAAAUCUUUUGUCAGUCGUAAAACCACAGGCGAAUAAGGGGUGGGCAAGUCUGGUGUCAGCCGCCGCGGUAAUACCAGCACCUCGAGUGGUCAGGAGGUUUAUUGGGCCUAAAGCAUCCGUAGCCGGCUACGCAAGUCUCCGGUUAAAUCCAGCUGCUCAACAGAUGGGCUGCCGGAGAUACUACAUAGCUAGGGAGCGGGAGAGGUAGACGGUAUUCUGUGGGUAGGGGUAAAAUCCACUGAUCCAUAGAGGACCACCAGUGGCGAAGGCGGUCUACCAGAACGCGUUCGACGGUGAGGGAUGAAAGCUGGGGGAGCAAACCGGAUUAGAUACCCGGGUAGUCCCAGCUGUAAACGAUGCAAACUCGGUGAUGCAUUGGCUUAUGGCCAAUGCAGUGCCGCAGGGAAGCCGUUAAGUUUGCCGCCUGGGAAGUACGGACGCAAGUCUGAAACUUAAAGGGAUUUGGCGGGGGAGCA